AUGAACUCUAUCCUGGGCUUGAUCAGCAAGGGGCUACAGGAAUCUUACAUUUUACCAGUCACUAUGUCUCCCUUUAGAGAAAAGUUACGUAGCUUUGUAGUAACAAAUUUCUGGUCAGCUUCCACUGCACUUUUGUUUCCAUUCCUGUAUCACCAAGAGGCUCUCGCUGAACUGAGUGGUGAGAAAAUUAAAGGGCUUUCGUAUAGGGAAUGGUUGCCCUGCUUCAACCAGCAAAUAAGAGCUCCGCCGCUUGCUCUCUCUCCUGAUCUGCUCUGUGGGUGCAAGACAGCAACCAUGUCUCCUCCUGUUACCUCUCUGCGGUGUGGCCCUCACCAAUGUCUUUCAAAGCCUCAAGAAACUUCUGAAGAAAACACCCGAGAACCACUUCUGCAGCCUGGUCUGGGUCACAGUCAAAGAACUUUUUCUGUAACUAGCUGGAGAGUGAAUAUUGCACGCCUUCUGCAGGCCGCGAGGUUCCUGUCACACACACUCCACUCUGGCUUGCAGCAGAAAAGCAGCCAUACACACUACGUAAAUGAAUGGCUGUGCCUGUGUUUCAGGGGCCCUAGUUUGCUGACCCCUGAGUUAGAUCCACAAAAGCCUGUCUUUACUGGAAGGUACUUCCAUAUUACAGCAGGUUCCAGAGAGUUCUGGGAAACAGUGUUGAGGAUGGUUGCCCUGGAAGGCAGCCGGUCAGCAGCAGGUCAGCAGCCAUACCCCGCCAGCCGCUCUCAAGGCCACUCUGCUGCAGGGAACAGAGAGGCGGGAGUGCUCAGUGUAGUGAGGAGAAGCGGGAAAGGAACGUUAGAAUUCAUGGUAGGAGUAGGACAGGUGAGUUGGGGGACCUCUGCUUCAGCCAGCUCCCUUUCCCUGGGGCAGAGACUCUUAAAAAAACAAAAUAAACUUACCUGGGACAGAGAUGCCUACUCCCAGCAGCCCCUGAACAAAGCCCCGAGCAGCUGCAACUGGACCAACCCUCAAAUGGCCCAUGACCUAAUGGAUUAA
RNAcentral lists this long non-coding RNA (1005 nucleotides) under Callithrix jacchus (white-tufted-ear marmoset). RNAcentral describes it as "lncRNA (ENSCJAG00000081703.1)". Lineage: Eukaryota; Metazoa; Chordata; Mammalia; Primates; Cebidae. The record is from RNAcentral.